This is a long non-coding RNA of Ornithorhynchus anatinus (platypus), 1030 nucleotides long. RefSeq lists it as uncharacterized. NCBI's taxonomy places the organism in Eukaryota, Metazoa, Chordata, Mammalia, Monotremata, Ornithorhynchidae. The record is from RefSeq and is a predicted model, not a curated record. The transcript is spliced from 4 exons.
UAGGGAGGAGCAGGUGCGGAGACAGUGAAAUUGUAAAAUCUGAUGGAGUUCCUUGAAGUCAAUAUAAGUUAAUUUUGUUUGAUAGGCAGUGACUAGGCAUUUUGAGAAGUUUGAAAAGUUUCCAGAAAGGGAUUUGGGCAGUAGCAUAGAAUACAGACUGAAGGUUGAAGAUGCUGGAGGCAGAGAGACCAGUGAGGAGACUUAAAUGUUUCACUGUGAUAUAAUGACAGAUUGACCUAUUUGGGUUGGAAACAAAGGACAGAUCCAGGAAUCAUUUUAGGAAAAGAAGCAAUAGGAUUUAGCAAUUGAUUGAAUGUAAGAGAUGAAAGAAAUUUGUUGAGCCUGUUACUAAGAUUGCUGCCUUUUGGAACAGGGAGGGAGAAUAGCAGUGUCACCAACAGAGAUGAGGAAGUUGGAAGUGGAAGAGGAUUUACAAGGAUGAGAAUUGCCAUUUGCACACUGAGUUUGGCCAUGUCAGUGUACCAUUUCAAGAUCAGCCUUGUGUCCUGCUGGAUUUUCUGGAUAUUUUUAUGAAAAAGAUACAAAUGAAUGUAUUUCAUUACCUUGUCUUCAUGGUGCAACCUGUGAAGAGCAUGCCAGUGGGUUCAUUUGCAAAUGUCAGAAAGGAUGGGCAGGACUCCUUUGUGAAGAGGACAUUGAUGAAUGCAGGUCCAACCCCUGUAUCCAUGGGAUUUGUGUCCAGAGUGGGCCUGGCUUUGGUUAUUCCUGCUUCUGUUCACCUGGAUAUGUGGGACGAAGCUGUGAAGUUAAUUACAAUGAUUGCCUACUACAAGCCUGCUCCACUGGGUUUCUUUGCAAUGAUGGAAUAAACGAUAUCACCUGUGUACCAGCUAGUGCCCAAAGGAGCAGUAGCACGUACACUGACAUGUCUGGAGUGACCCCUGCUGCAGAAAAUUCGAACUACAACUUUCCACCUGUACAGUCUAAAGGGCUCUGGGGUAAAAUGAUUGCAUCUGCUAUCCUUAAAAUUUGGAUGUCCUAGAGUAAGUUAGGGAAUAAAUGCACAAAG